AUUGAACGCUGGCGGCAUGCCUAACACAUGCAAGUCGAACGAGUGGCGGACGGGUGAGUAAUGUCUGGGAAACUGCCUGAUGGAGGGGGAUAACUACUGGAAACGGUAGCUAAUACCGCAUACCAUCAGAUGUGCCCAGAUGGGAUUAGCUUGUUGGUGGGGUAACGGCUCACCAAGGCGACGAUCCCUCGCUGGUCUGAGGGGAUGCCCAGCCACACUGGAACUGAGACACGGUCCAGACUCCUACGGGAGGCAGCAGUGGGGAAUAGGGGACAAUGGGCGAAAGCCUGAUGCAGCCAUGCCGAGUGUAUGAAGAAGGCCUUCGGGUUGGAAAGUACUUUCAGCGGGGAGGCGGUACCGGCAGAAGAAGCACCGGCUAACUCCGUGCCAGCAGCCGCGGUAAUAC
This 406-nucleotide ribosomal RNA is filed under the name uncultured bacterium. RNAcentral's name for it is "partial 16S ribosomal RNA". It matches the Rfam family "Bacterial small subunit ribosomal RNA", at positions 30 to 526 of the family's 1533-position model. The record is from RNAcentral.